UUACGAGCCGCGCCACAACGAGGCCAGGCCCCGCCCCCGGACCCGCCCCCAGUGACGCCAGAAUUCCCCGAGCGAGGUCCUAUAGGCCACCGGUGCGAGUCUCCUACACACAGCGGCACCUUCGGGUUCCAGCCUAACUGCCUGCGGCAGCCCGGCUCCGCACGACCUUUUAAAGGUAGCUUUUCUGAGCUCAAGGUGAGCGAUGAGGAAGCGCCCGCCCCUUCUGCUUUAUCAUUGGUCUUCGAUAACCAGCGAUAACCCUCACCACCGUCCAAUUGGCCAGUGAGUGCGAGAGCCGACAGUUAGCUGCGAUCGGUGCUGCCGAGAGGAAUGCUGGGACUUGUAGUCCUGGCGCCCAUAGGCUGCUCGCUGAGGCCCAAGCCUCCAGCUUCCAUAGCUACAAAGAGCCGGCCCCGCCUUCUGGGAGCCGGUCGACUCUGGUCAGCCGACGUCUUCACUGCUCAAGUAGCAAGACCGCAGGAGAUUCAGAGACAGAGGAAAACUACGGAUUGGAGUAUUCCAGAACCGGAGUUGGGUUAUUUCUUUGAGCCUCGUUCUGCGAGAAACUUUGGCUCACUCCUAGAAAUCGAGAAGAACGGUGCGUUACAUUCUCAUCACUUGGGAAAGCCCCAAAUAUGGGAACCUGGGAAGAAGUAUUGAGAAAGCAAGUAUCAAUGGUCCUUUGGGAUAGGAGGUUGAAGAAACAGCGUUUGUCCAGAGUAUGCCAGGCGAGAUCAUGCAUUCGUGUAUGUUUGUUCUAGUAUGAAUCCUUUCACAGGUUUCUCUGGCUAUCCUGGAACUCACUCUGUAGACCAGGCUGGCCUCCCCAGUGAUGGAAUCAAAGGCUCCUCGUGUGCAGAGAAACAGCUCCAUCUGAGAACACGGCCUGGACCUCUGCCUACUCAUGUGAUGAAGGAAGAACGGUAGCCUUAGCAACCUACGCUUGUGCCGCCUGCCUGCAGCCAGCUUCCCCUCACAUCACCAGCAGGUCACUCUGGCCAUCUUUGAUGAACUUUAUAGAGGACAUUACUAUGACCUCAGCUUCCCCCUGGGUGGCAAGAGCAUCUUGAUACAAUCUUUUCAUAGAUGCAUGUUCACAUCAUUAGAUGAUCUGAGGGCUGGUGAGGGGGCUCUGUGAGCAGACACCUGCCAUCAAGCCUGUCAAACUGAAUUCUAUCCCUCAGAUUGAGGUAAGAGAACCAACUCCUGCACGUUUUCCUCUGACCUCCACAUACAGCAGUUGAACACAAACAAAUAUGAUCAAAUAUUUUUUAAAAUAAAGAAAAUUUGGGUCUACAUUUUCUUAAUUUGGACACAGGCAGGUCCACAGUCAAGAAUGAUGGCCCAGGAAGCUGAGACAAGAAUGUAUGUAUUUGAGGCCAGCCUGGACUACCCUUUAUAAUAAGAAAGACUGUUGGAUCUUCACCACGAAUCACAAGUUACAAAACCCAAGGCAUGGUUCUGAGCUAAGGAAAAAUGAGUGCAGGGCAGCAGAGCCCUGAACCUGUUACCCCAGACUCAGUCCCUGCAAGGCUCUGUUCCUCUGGCCAGACAGAGCACAAGCGCGCUCACAGCCCUGUGGGAGAGAGAAUGAAAGGUGCAGGAUACACUGAUGAGGUCGCCUUCCUGCAAGAAGCCUCUCAUGGCCAGCUCAUCCUCUGCAGACCUUCUCCUCUGAAAAACACAGAAGCACAAGCACAUGUCACAGCCCCUCUCAGGAAAGGCUCUCCCCACCACUGCUCUCUGCUUGAAGCCAACCAUGGUACUACAACAUGAAGAAUUAUGACAAGAGGUAGACAGAACUGCUAGUGGGAGCGAGGGAGAUGACAGUGGCUCUCCUCAGUGGGACCCUGUGCAGUUGACUGAGCCUGUCUCCCAGCACACUUCACACUAGGCUCUGUCACUAGUCACAUAUCUCCCUUCACCUCAGAGUCACAACCUCACUCCAAGGCUGCCUUACAGCUGUUAUCUCCUAUCCUCCACCCAUCUAUAAAGUCCUUGAGGGACUCAGCUGGGCAUCCUUUAAUCUGGCACUCUUCAUAGGAUCCAGCUCAGGGAACCUCUCCAAAAUUUCAGACAGACUGAACCAUGGUACGGACAAAAAAGCCUGUCACUGUCUGCAAUAACCAAGUGCCACUCAAAUCACUGAAAAAUAAAGACAAGCAGAGCAUAGUGGCACACGACUUUGAUUUGGGAGGUUGAGGCAGGCAGACAUCUGUGAGUUCCAGGCCAGGGUUACACUGAGAAAGCCUGUCUCAACCCCCCCCCCCCACCCCACACUCCAAAAAAAAGAAGGCAAACCCUUCAAGAGACACCUUCACUGUGCAAGGCUGGGACACCAAAAAGGAAAUGAGCACUAAGAUACUAAGAUCCAGGAGCCUCUUCCCAGCUCCCUUCUGGGAGCCCACGACACGGGUGUUUCUGGUCUUACCACACACUAGCUGUGCUGAGAGCCCAGGGCUAGAAGAAAAGCCUCUGUGUUCACCAAAGUAGCAGACUCCAUGACAAGACAACAGCGACCUCAUGUAAAGCAGACUUCUCAGCUCAACGGGACAGUUCCAGAGCAGGAGAGCACUUACCAGCUCUCCUCCAGGCAGGUUCAUGGAGGAGAGGAGCAAGACGGAGUCCAGCCUGGAAUUGGUCUCCACCUUCCACCUCUUCUGCUGAACCUGCGAGGGAAAUAAAUGUGGGCUAGCACCUCACACCACCCCACAAAGGCCCCUGCUUCAUACUUUCACAGAACGAAGGCCCCAUCCCUGAGCCACCCACCAGUCCCCUUCACUUUGUGAACAUUGACUUUACCUCUGUGAUUCUCCCCACUACAAUGUCUCCGACUUCUCCAUUGUAUCUGCAAGAGAAAACAGAAGCUUUCCCAGUAGCUGGCAGGCUGGCCAGACCUGUGUCUGAGGCUGAACAAACAAGCACGUGGUUAUAAUUACUGUUUAGACCUGGGAAUUUCAGAAUCUCUCCAUGUAUUAUUUCAUUAGCUAUCCUUAAAGCAAUGGCUCAUGGCAAGUUGUUACAUCUCCA
This is a long non-coding RNA of Mastomys coucha (southern multimammate mouse), 3030 nucleotides long. RefSeq lists it as uncharacterized. The transcript has 3 exons. The record is from RefSeq and is a predicted model, not a curated record. Lineage: Eukaryota; Metazoa; Chordata; Mammalia; Rodentia; Muridae.